ACGAACGCUGGCGGCGUGCUUAACACAUGCAAGUCGAACGGAAAGGCCCUGCUUUUGUGGGGUGCUCGAGUGGCGAACGGGUGAGUAACACGUGAGUAACCUGCCCUUGACUUUGGGAUAACUUCAGGAAACUGGGGCUAAUACCGGAUAGGAGCUCCUGCUGCAUGGUGGGGGUUGGAAAGUUUCGGCGGUUGGGGAUGGACUCGCGGCUUAUCAGCUUGUUGGUGGGGUAGUGGCUUACCAAGGCUUUGACGGGUAGCCGGCCUGAGAGGGUGACCGGCCACAUUGGGACUGAGAUACGGCCCAGACUCCUACGGGAGGCAGCAGUGGGGAAUAUUGCACAAUGGGCGGAAGCCUGAUGCAGCAACGCCGCGUGCGUGAUGACGGCCUUCGGGUUGUAAACCGCUUUCGCCUGUGACGAAGCGUGAGUGACGGUAAUGGGUAAAGAGGCACCGGCUAACUACGUG
This 467-nucleotide ribosomal RNA is filed under the name uncultured bacterium. RNAcentral's name for it is "partial 16S ribosomal RNA". It matches the Rfam family "Bacterial small subunit ribosomal RNA", at positions 29 to 507 of the family's 1533-position model. The record is from RNAcentral.